GAUGAACGCUGGCGGCGUGCCUAAUACAUGCAUGUCGAGCGAACAGACGAGGAGCUUGCUCCUCUGAUGUUAGCGGCGGACGGGUGAGUAACACGUGGAUAACCUACCUAUAAGACUGGGAUAACUUCGGGAAACCGGAGCUAAUACCGGAUAACAUGUUGAACCGCAUGGUUCAACAGUGAAAGACGGGCUUGCUGUGACUUAUAGAUGGAUCCGCGCCGCAUUAGCUAGUUGGUAAGGUAACGGCUUACCAAGGCAACGAUGCGUAGCCGACCUGAGAGGGUGAUCGGCCACACUGGAAGUGAGACACGGUCCAGACUCCUACGGGAGGCAGCAGUAGCGAAUCUUCCGCAAUGGGCGAAAGCCUGACGGAGCAACGCCGCGUGAGUGAAGAAGGUCUUCGGAUCGUAAAACUCUGUUAUUAGGGAAGAACAAAUGUGUAAGUAACUAUGCACGUCUUGACGGUACCUAAUCAGAAAGCCACGGCUAACUACGUG
This 497-nucleotide ribosomal RNA is filed under the name uncultured bacterium. RNAcentral's name for it is "partial 16S ribosomal RNA". It matches the Rfam family "Bacterial small subunit ribosomal RNA", at positions 28 to 507 of the family's 1533-position model. The record is from RNAcentral.